RNAcentral lists this ribosomal RNA (300 nucleotides) under uncultured Desulfurococcus sp. RNAcentral describes it as "bacterial SSU rRNA". It matches the Rfam family "Bacterial small subunit ribosomal RNA", at positions 496 to 795 of the family's 1533-position model. Lineage: Archaea; Thermoproteati; Thermoproteota; Thermoprotei; Desulfurococcales; Desulfurococcaceae. The record is from RNAcentral.
GGUAAUGGCGUGCAAGCAGGCGGGGGAAUACGGAGGGGGCAAGCGGUAUAAUGAUUGAUUUGGGAUAAAGAGUACGGAGGCGGACCGUUAAGUCAGUGGUGAAAUCCGACAGCGUAACUGUAGAACUGCCAUUGAUACGGCUGGUGUUGAGUGUAGUUGAGGUAGCUGGAAUGAGGAGUGUAGCGUUGAAAUGCAUAGAUAUUACUCAGAACACGAAGGGCGAAGGCAGGUUACCAAGUUACAACUGACGCUGAUGGACGAAAGCGUGGGGAGCGAACAGGAUUAGAUACCCGUGUAGUC